Molecule: long non-coding RNA, 2148 nt
Filed under: Strigops habroptila (Kakapo)
Lineage: Eukaryota; Metazoa; Chordata; Aves; Psittaciformes; Psittacidae
Description: lncRNA (ENSSHBG00005020789.1)
Source: RNAcentral
CCGCGCGGCCGAGGCGGGAACGGCGGGGCUGCGGCGCCGUCCGCCGGGUGGAGGAGCGCGGGGCUGGCGGGAGGGAGCCGGCUGGCGGUGGGUCCGGUCCCGGUCACGCCCGGCAGCAACUGGGAGCGGACUUGUGACGGUGUUACUGUGAGGAAGAAGAAUCCAGCCAUCUGUUGUGUGACUCUGCUCUCCUGUCCAUCUUCCUGGCAACCUCAUCCAGCAAUGCAGCUUGCACCACAUCAUCAGAUCAUGCUUAGAGUGUCCACAGUUGCUCAUACCUGGUUUUUGGUCAUACAUGUUUCUAGCUAUGUAUUUCCCAGUGCAUGCUCAGGUUAUGUGAAAGAUGCAUCUAAUACAGCUUGUCUGUACUCUGGAUGAAGAUAAAUGCCGAAUUGGAAAAGGGCUUUUUAAAGAUUAGCAACUCGGGUGUAUUACAUUUAUCUAGAUGAGUGAAAGGAUUCCUCCUAUUUCAGUGUUCAUUGAGACUCAAAUGUAAAAUGCAGAAUGAGGACCAAUUUUCUUAAAUGAAAAUACAUUACUUCAGUAUAUAUAUAAAAACAAAGAAGUCUUAAGUUAUUGCUUUUGAAUAAUCAGAAUAACUGUCCUUUGCUAUACAAACCUUGUCCUCAUUAUUAGGCUAACGUAGUGUUCAUAAGGCAGUUGUGACAUGUAGCAUGGUUUUGGUUACAGAGCUAGAAACAGGUGCAGUUUAGCUGUUGGCAUUGCAUAAAAAAAUGCAGAAAAACAGAAGGGAACAUCAGCACCAGCUAGACUUUUUUGUACGUUUGUUGUAAUUGACACCCAAUUUCUUCUGUUAUCAUUGGUAGCUGUCUAGGGAGAAGAUAAUCGUAAACUGCUGGCAGGUAGUCAAGCCGUAUAUUAAACAUGCAUCAGCCUCUCAAAACCAGGAUCUAGACACAAGUUAGUAUCAAGUUAGUGGAUGAAUUGGAAUGCACAUGCUUUGAUUGGAAGGAAGUUUAGCUCUUGUACUGAAACAGGACAGCUUGGAGACAGCAUUUAGGCAAAGGUAUACUUGUUUCUCAAAACCUACUGUUGGCAUGGACCUGGGGACAGUCAUCCAAAUAAUGGCUGCAGCAGAAGAAAUGGCACUUUUUAAUGCUAGAUUACACACUUUUUCUUCACCUUUCUAUUGGACACAGCUGUUUCUUCUUGGUGUUUAUAUAUUUUUCUGUAGUUCCAACAAAUAUUUUUUUAAGAGUAGUUUGUGGCAAAAAAUAAGAUUGCACUUCACUCCCUGUGCUUGAGGCAUUGUAAGUGCACUGACAUUGGUGGUAGCUUCUGUUAUGUGCUAGUGUGAAGGAAUAGUCAUCCCUGUCAAAUGACUGUUAAAGACUAAACAAAACAAAACAACCUUUAUAAGAAAAAAAAAAAAAAGGCUUGUUUUUAAUUUAAAUGACUAAAUCUUUUUGUUUCUAUCUUUGUUGUUUUAGAAACUAUAUGCUGUAACAGGAAAAGAAAUGCUGUGUGUGACAGCUUUGAGAUGCUAGGCUUGCUGCUUCUUGGUAGUUUUGUGACCGUGUUUGCUGUUUUUGGACUGCAAGCCUUUCAGUAGCUUCCAAGACCCUGGCACUAGAUGGAGCUUUCAUCUACUUGCACUUAGAAGUGUAUUAAGUUUAACCGCAAAUUAAAAACCGGGAAGAAUAAAUUAAGAUACGUAUGCCUGCUGCUACGUUUACAGUGCACUUUUCUCCUUUCGUUAGCAGAGUGGUGUAAAUUAUAAUUUAAUUUUAAUUUAAAUUAAAAUUAAAGUAUUGCAGCGGGAUCUCCUUGAUCUAGUAGGUUCUUUAUAACCACUCUUACUAGCACCCUUUAAAGUACUCUCAGGCUCAUGGGAGAAGUUGCUGUGAGUUAGAUAUGCUGAAAAUGUGCUUCAUGUUUAAGCUAAUGACUAGUCUGUGCUGAAUAAAGGUAAUGCCAUUUUCUGAACAAAGUUCCUGUUUAUAUUUCAGGAUGGGGUGGGGGUGACCAAGCCUUCUGUUUGCUCUGCUCAUUCAGUAAUGCAUUUGCAUUUUUACUUCAUGCUACCAAAGCCAACAAUUCAGAAUCAUCUGUUAUCAGUCACUUCAUUUUUCUCCAUGUGUUACCCUUGAAAAUAUUGAACAAAUAGAAACAAAUAAAAUCCAGCUU